AUAAUUAUUCUUAGAUUCACUUGUGAACUACUUUUCACUUGGAUGUUGUGAUGAUGAUUUUUUCAGAAGUGUGUUCUUUGAAUCUUAAUAAAGGAGAGAUAGAUAGAUUUGAAUCUUAUCUAUCUUUUUUCAUUAUUUUUCUUCCUUUUUUUCCACAAAAUAUCACCAUUAUUUGUAGAUUUUUUUUGAAGCUAAACUAGCUUGCCCUUCAGUUUUACAGAUUCUACUGAUGAAUAUAUAUAAUUUUUUCUUGUCUUUUCUGCACAAGUUCGAUUUUCUUUCUUUAUAUUUUUUUUAUCUUAAAAAAAAAUUGGAUAUAUAGAUUCUAUUUUACCAAAUAAAACUGUGGCCAAAUAUUCACAUAAAUAAAACCCCUAUUUGCUCUCCUUAAAAUUUAAUUUUCUGUGCAACUUUUUUUUUUUUUACUAAAGAUAGGAGACUCGAACCCACAACUUCUUAAUUGAAUAUAGGGAGAAUAUGCCAUUUGAACUAUUACUCAUUGGCAAUUUUCUGUGCAACUUGUGCCAUUUAUAUAGAACUUUAUAUAUUAUUAUUAUUGAUGCAUGAAGAGGGAGAUAAAUAGAUAGAUAGAUAGAUAGAUAUACAGUCGUUAUUUGCGGAUGUAGCAUCAUCAAGAUUCACAUGCAAAUGUAGAAGGUUGUGUAUGUGGGACUUUCUCUUUUGAAGUGAGAAUCUUGAUGAUGCUGCAUCGGCAAUAAACGCCUUCAAUUCAAUUCUUCAUUCAAAAUGCUGUUCCUAUUUACUCUCUCUGUUAGUUCAAUAGUAAGUUACUGUUUUAACCCCAACAAACAGGGUUCCCAGCUUCACAAUUGUCUCCAUUAUUAUUAUUAUAUAUAUAUAUAAAAAAGAGAGAGAGAUCUAAUCUGCAGAAGAAUUGAGUUUCAGCAACUGGUGAAGGUGAUGACCCCCUUUUUUUCCUCCACUUUUAUUCACUUUCUGUUGUUGUCAGGUGGUUUUUUUAAUUUUCUUUAUUUUAUUUAAUUAAUUGCCACAUUCACAAUGGAUAUAUAAUUAAUUAUAUAUGGGUAUGGUCUUGCAAUAUUUUAUUAGAAAUUCAACAAUACAAAUAUGUGUAUAUAUAAUUGAAUUGAAUUGGAUUGGACUAGGUAAAAAAUUAUAAAACAAAUUAAAGCUAAGAUUAGUACAAAAUGUCUAAUAUUAUUUUUUUCUUUAAUUUAUUUAAAAUGAUAAGUAUAUAAUAUUAGAAUAUAUAGGGACAUUAAUAAAUUAGGUGUUUUUGCAUUUUGCAGACAGUCCUAGGUUGUCAAAAUAGGGUUAUUUGGGAGGGGAAGGGGGAUGUGGUUGUUAGGUCUUCUUUAUGUGCUGACUUCACAGAUCUAUGAAUGUUCCUUUUCAACACAAAUUUCAGGGAUUCAUAAAUUGCAUACCAUAUUACCAUGGCGUCUUUUAACUUUCUAAAUAUAGAUUAUCAUGCAUUAUAUAAAUAUAUAUCCCAUUCUACAAAUCUAGAGAGAGAAAGGAGCAUAUGGAUUUUAGUUUAGGGUACUCAUUUGGUCAUGUUGUUUCUUGAUAUAUAAUUUUCACUUGAGAAAUGUUAUUUCAGCCACUAAAAUUAGUUACGAAUGUAUUUAUGUAUAAAUACAUGUAUGAUUUAAUUUAUUUUCAAUGUGUAUUUAUAUUCCAGCAUAUAUUUUAUACUAGUGGUUAAUUUUGGUGGCUGAUUUUGUUGUACACGUAGCAUAACCCUUUUCACUUAUGUUUAUGUCUAUAUCUAUAUCUAUAUCUAUAUGUAGUAAUACUACUAAAUUUUAUAAUUAUCUUAUAUGAUUUUAUUUUAUUUUAUUUUUUCACCUGAAAAUUCACUGCUAAUUUCUAAGAGUUGAUGAAGAAAUUAAAGCUUUGUGAUUGUGAAUGUGAAUGGAUAAUUCCAGUACUCAUCAUAAGUCACAGGUAGAUCUGUACUUGUUAUUCCAAACAACAUAUAAAUUUAAUUAUGAUUAAUAAUUAUUUAAACAUCUAUUCCAAUUAUAUAUAUCACAUUUUCUUAUUCUUUUGGUAGUGAGCUUAGUAUUACAUACAAGACUAUUUGAGUGAUGACAAAAUUCUUUCUUCUAAAUUUUAACAUAGUUAUUAAUUACCUUUAACUAAAACUUAAAAAUCUAAUAUAUAUUUACAUGCUUGUUGAUUAUAUUGCUUAGUAUAACAUAUAUGUACAAAUUAAUAAUUUAAUAGUAUACAUAUAGUGUUAAGUACUGCACAUGUACUAUAUAUAUUAAUGUUUGUAUAUGUGGAUUAUUGCGAGGGUUUGCAUAUGAUGUAGCAAUGAAAUUAAGCAAAAAUCAUUGAAAAUUGAAGCUGGGUUGGCUUGGGAACUUGGAUUAUGCAAAAUCAAUGACAUUGUGUGAUGAGUUCCAUGAUCAAGGGGAUUUGGCAGUAGUAACUUACUAUUUUUUAUAUGAUAAGAGGUAGAUAUACAUGCUUCAUGUUGGGGAGUAACCAACUAAGUCUUAAAGAUAUAAUCUCUUCUAAUUUCAGGAGGCCAGUUUCUAUCACCAAACCUUGAAAAGAUCCAACACAGAUCAAUGAGGGAGAAGUCAUAGCUGGAAAUGAUUCAAGACAAAAUAAGUAUGAGUGGCUGCAAUGCAGAAAAUAGGGCAGGAAUAUGAGUAAGAUGAUGCUGAUGGCUGUUAAGCUCAUGUGACAUGUGGAGGCCACAUUGGUACUUCUCUGCUGCUUUUGUUUCUACCUUUUUUAUCUUUUUUUUUUUUUUAAAUUAUUUGAACAACCAAAAUUAGUUCUCCAUUCACAUAAUCAUUUUAGUUUUAAUUUUGAUUAUUGCUUUAUGUAUGAAAAGCUUUUAAUAAGACUUCAAAUUAUUCAUUAUGCUAACUGCUAAGUGA
Arachis ipaensis is the source of this 2882-nucleotide long non-coding RNA. RefSeq lists it as uncharacterized. The record is from RefSeq and is a predicted model, not a curated record. Lineage: Eukaryota; Viridiplantae; Streptophyta; Magnoliopsida; Fabales; Fabaceae.